Molecule: long non-coding RNA, 652 nt
Filed under: Androctonus crassicauda
Lineage: Eukaryota; Metazoa; Arthropoda; Arachnida; Scorpiones; Buthidae
Source: RNAcentral
UAUAACAGAAAUGGUUUCACCUUUCUCACCAUUGGAGAUGCACUGCACUGCAUCUUUGGUUGCAAUAACUUUUCCCAUUUUAUUGUUCAUUUGUAAUUCUGUUUCAUCCUUGUUAAAUAUAUUCUGGCAUGGUGGUGAAAAGAUUGUGUUCAAUGCAAAUUUUUUCCAAAAGUGUGAAAUAUGCAUUCGUUUCUUCUCUGCACAUCCCUUGAGCAUGUGCCAGUGAAACAGCAAUAGUUUCUGUAUUGCUAAAUUGGGAUGGCAUGACAUAAAAAGCCAAAAUCACUCAAUACCUGCUAACUGUUUUUCUGAAUUAAAUUUAUGGGGAAGUGCAUUUUUUUUUGGCAAAGGAAUAAAUCAAAGAUCUAUGUUCAUUGGAGUUGUGGCAAAAUCACAGCUCUCGAGUUCCUGAAUGUACAGAACUAGUUUGUCUUCAUUAUCAUAGACUUGGCCCAGAGGACACACUGGGCCAAGUCCAUGUUUUCUGACAUCAACUUUUUGUAGUCUAUGUUUCAAAGUGUGGACAGGAACCCCAUAUUUUCUUUCACUCUCUCUCUGUUUUGAGCUUCCAUUUUCAACUUCUUUAAUGGCCAAUUGCAGAGCCUCCUCAGUCCAGUUGGCAUGGUUAGAUGUAGGAAGUUAAUUAUGAGGC